Molecule: ribosomal RNA, 594 nt
Filed under: uncultured Bacteroidota bacterium
Lineage: Bacteria; Pseudomonadati; Bacteroidota
Description: bacterial SSU rRNA
Rfam family: Bacterial small subunit ribosomal RNA
Source: RNAcentral
CAACCUGCCGAUGACUCGGGGAUAGCCUUUCGAAAGAAAGAUUAAUACCCGAUGGCAUAGUUCUUCCGCAUGGUGGAACUAUUAAAGAAUUUCGGUCAUCNAUGGGGAUGCGUUCCAUUAGGUUGUUGGCGGGGUAACGGCCCACCAAGCCUUCNAUGGAUAGGGGUUCUGAGAGGAAGGUCCCCCACAUUGGAACUGAGACACGGUCCAAACUCCUACGGGAGGCAGCAGUGAGGAAUAUUGGUCAAUGGACGAGAGUCUGAACCAGCCAAGUAGCGUGAAGGAUGACUGCCCUAUGGGUUGUAAACUUCUUUUAUACGGGAAUAAAGUGAGGCACGUGUGCCUUUUUGUAUGUACCGUAUGAAUAAGGAUCGGCUAACUCCGUGCCAGCAGCCGCGGUAAUACGGAGGAUCCGAGCGUUAUCCGGAUUUAUUGGGUUUAAAGGGAGCGUAGGCGGACGCUUAAGUCAGUUGUGAAAGUUUGCGGCUCAACCGUAAAAUUGCAGUUGAUACUGGGUGUCUUGAGUACNGUAGAGGCAGGCGGAAUUCNUGGUGUAGCGGUGAAAUGCUUAGAUAUCNCGAAGAACUCCNAUUG